CAGUCCUCAAGCAUGGCUGUGUCUUCAGCAGGCAGUGCUCGGUCAGCUCCUGCAGACCUCGUUCUUGAGGAGAUUGACUCUGAAGAUGAGGCUCAAGAAAAAACUUGUCCAACAACGAACUCGCAGCCAAAUUCACAACCUCAAACACCUUGGUCACCAGAACAAUCUCUUCCACUGAGUGUCAUCACACCCUCACAAGCACACAUAGAACUGGAGGACGCAGAGACCCAAACUGCACGAUGGACGCCCAUGAUCGAGAACAUCAGGAGAGAGGCGGAGGACACCGCCAUAUUAUUUAUGGAGGAACGGUUGAUACUGGAGCGUCUGGCGAUGGCUCGAAUGGCAGAAGAGGUGGCACGGCAGACAGCAGAGAUGGCUGUCAGGGAGUUGGCACAGGCCCGGUUUGGCAUUCAGAUCAUUGCAGAAGAGCCAGAAGAUGUUGAUCAAGAAUUACAAGUGCUGCAGGAAGAGGAAAGUGAUAUAGAAGUCAUACGAAAUCAAAUUGCAGAGUAAGACAUACUGGGAAUUUUUUUUAUUAUUAUAAAUUCAAUCAACUGUUCUCAUGCUUUCCU
Molecule: long non-coding RNA, 572 nt
Filed under: Sinocyclocheilus grahami
Lineage: Eukaryota; Metazoa; Chordata; Actinopteri; Cypriniformes; Cyprinidae
Description: lncRNA (ENSSGRG00000041978.1)
Source: RNAcentral